CGCUGUUGCCGUACAGACGGCGUCGCUUUCCGGCGGCUGUUGCCGUGGCAGUGGGCGGGCGGAGCGGCGCCGCUUUACGUCACGGCGGCGCUUUACGUCACGGCGCCGGGAGGGGCCGCUCGCUGCGCCCCGCGGAACGCGAGGGAGUCCUCGUUGGGGCGCUAACUACCAGCCUCCAGCUGUGGUGCCAGGUGGUGAUCCCGCGCAGGUGCAUCCAGCUGUGUGUACCUGAGCAGCACAACGGCUGUUGCCAAAGUCUGGGCUCGCCUUGACCACAUACUCUAAGUGCUUCUUUGUACGUCAGUGCACUUGGGAAGGAAUGGAGGAAGGAGGCUUUUCUGAAGCCCAGGAAGAUCUGGCUGCCCUUGAGGAGGACUGCGAAGAUGCUGGGCUAGACUGGGUAGACGCAGAGGCAGAAUAAGAGGACGAAUAAUGAAAAUACUGAAAACCAAAGUCUGGAAAAGUGCAUUCAGCAACAAAAGAACUGCAGAACUCAGUUCACCUUUUUAGGUUGUUUUCAAAUAAAGGUGGACAUGCUCUACCGUC
Numida meleagris (helmeted guineafowl) is the source of this 546-nucleotide long non-coding RNA. RefSeq lists it as uncharacterized. Lineage: Eukaryota; Metazoa; Chordata; Aves; Galliformes; Numididae. The transcript is spliced from 2 exons. The record is from RefSeq and is a predicted model, not a curated record.